RNAcentral lists this ribosomal RNA (255 nucleotides) under Salmonella enterica subsp. enterica serovar Infantis. Its description in RNAcentral is "partial 23S ribosomal RNA". It matches the Rfam family "Bacterial large subunit ribosomal RNA", at positions 515 to 783 of the family's 2925-position model. The record is from RNAcentral. Lineage: Bacteria; Pseudomonadati; Pseudomonadota; Gammaproteobacteria; Enterobacterales; Enterobacteriaceae. RNAcentral also lists the same sequence under 2 other names.
AGGAUACGGUUAACGGAGCGAAAGCGACGUUCAACCUCAAAAGAAGCAGAGGGGGCUUAGUGGUGGGGUGACUGCGUACCUUUUGUAUAAUGGGUCAGCGACUUAUAUUCUGUAGCAAGGUUAACCGCAUAGGGGAGCCGGAGGGAAACCGAGUCUUAAUUGGGCGUUAAGUUGCAGGGUAUAGACCCGAAACCCGGUGAUCUAGCCAUGGGCAGGUUGAAGGUUGGGUAACACUAACUGGAGGACCGAACCGAC